CCUACGGGAGGCUGCAGUAGGGAAUCUUCCACAAUGGGCGAAAGCCUGAUGGAGCACCGCCGCGUGGGUGAAGAAGGUCUUCGGAUCGUAAAACCCUGUUGUUAGAGAAGAAAGUGCGUGAGAGUACCUGUUCACGUUUCGACGGUAUCUAACCAGAAAGCCACGGCUAACUACGUGCCAGCAGCCGCGGUAAUAAGUAGGUGGCAAGCGUUAUCCGGAUUUAUUGGGCGUAAAGGGAACGCAGGCGGUCUUGUAAGUCUGAUGUGAAAGCCUUCGGCUUAACCGGAGUAGUGCAUUGGAAACGGGGAGACGUGAGUGCAGAAGAGGAGAGUGGAACUACAUGUGUAGCGGUGAAAUGCGUAGAUAUAUGGAAGAACACGAGUGGCGAAGGCGACUCUCUGGUCUGUAACUGACGCUGAGGUUCGAAAGCGUGGGUAGCAAACAGGAUUAGAGACCCUGGUAGUC
RNAcentral lists this ribosomal RNA (465 nucleotides) under uncultured bacterium. RNAcentral's name for it is "partial 16S ribosomal RNA". It matches the Rfam family "Bacterial small subunit ribosomal RNA", at positions 338 to 795 of the family's 1533-position model. The record is from RNAcentral.